Non-coding RNA from Rangifer tarandus platyrhynchus (Svalbard reindeer), 67 nucleotides. NCBI's taxonomy places the organism in Eukaryota, Metazoa, Chordata, Mammalia, Artiodactyla, Cervidae. The record is from the annotation of a GenBank genome assembly.
GCCCUGUAGUGGUAAUUACAUAAUGAAUUGCAAAUUCAAAGAAGCAGCUUCAAUUUUGCCGGGGGUU